GACCUGCUGACUCAGGUCUCCCCUGUUUAUUUUUCAAUAGAAUCUCUGUCAAAGUCAUUUUGAACCUUAAAUGAUUUGUUUUCUUCUUAUAAAGCUUAGAAAAUAAUAACAAUAUUUAUCACCUGAACUAUUGUGAUUUUAACAUACUUUGAAUUAUUUUCUAAUUAGACUCCUUAAUAAAUUGUCUGGAAAAUACAGAUCCACUAAAGGGAUUGUGUCAUGGGUUCUCUGAGUUACUCAAAUCUGCUCCACAAUUUCAUAUUUGCUGACCUUUCUCACCUUUUACGAAUCCUCAAGACAUCAUUUGCAAAACGUGGCAUUUCAGAUAAACUCAACCUUCAGCGCGUACUCAGGGACCAUGCAGAUGAUGUGUGACUCCCGCCCGGCUCUCCGUCACUGAUGAGGACACUUGACAUUUCAUCAAGGAGGCAUUUGAGAACCAGGUAGGAGCUCGCCAGAAACGUAAGGGCCAUCAGGCGUUGAGAAAGCCACUUGCAAUUGAUUGGUCCCACUAAACAGCUUCGGUUCCAGGCUCCUGACAGGACCUGGGCAUUUCCGAUUGCUUCCUUCAUUCAAUUUUUCUGUGACAGUUUUCAGUUUUAUUUUGAGGAAAAGAAUAUCUUUCUUAAAAGACUGACUUAAGUUAAAUUUCUCAACACACUGUCACCUCUCUGCUAGCGCACUAUUCAAAUUUGCUGGUGUUCUGAUUCAUAACAGGGAGGAAACAUCUUUAUAGUUCGAUAAUAACUUCAGGAGUCAUUGAAAAAUCAUCCCAGUAUUUCUCCUUAAUAUUUGGGGUGUUGUGGAAGGAAGC
RNAcentral lists this long non-coding RNA (814 nucleotides) under Vulpes vulpes (red fox). RNAcentral's name for it is "lncRNA (ENSVVUG00000009967.1)". Lineage: Eukaryota; Metazoa; Chordata; Mammalia; Carnivora; Canidae. The record is from RNAcentral.